Molecule: long non-coding RNA, 342 nt
Filed under: Sus scrofa (pig)
Lineage: Eukaryota; Metazoa; Chordata; Mammalia; Artiodactyla; Suidae
Description: lncRNA (ENSSSCG00015019756.1)
Source: RNAcentral
AUGCCCCCACUCUCCUUGCAACCAAGGAGCCCACACCCCUUCCCCCAGUGUCUCUUCCAUCAGUCCAAGGCUGAGGCAACCCAGUUGCUUCCGAAGCAAGAUGACCAAGUUUGGAAGAGACGGCUGAAGCAUCUGUCCCUGGCAGAAGCUCUGUCUUGCGCUCAGACACUCUACCCAGACUUUGUUCCUGGCGGCACCAGAGAACUUCCCCAGCCCAGGGAGGAAUCUCUGAGGAUCACAGGUGUCAACAGGAUGGAAAUAAAACCAGAGACCAUGCUGAGAUUCUUCCGUGGAGAUCCAAAAAGGAGCAUUCUGCUUCCCAGCACUUCUUGCCAAGGAUGA